CAUAGCUAUCAAAUUAAACCAAUAUUUUAUAUUUCGAGAAUAUUGUUUGUUCUAGAAUCGUAGAAGUAUAAACAGUGAGAAACACUUCUCGUUAACGUGGCCUUGAACGAUCCGGCAAACUAUGUAGAAUAAGCGCAGUAGCUAUUUUGCACUGCUGGAAGCAGUGCUGAUUCUCCUCUUUAAUCGAUUCUACGUCCACGCAAUGGAUUCUCGACUUGUUUAAAUAUGGAGAACAAGAAGAAAUUACAGGGGAGGGUUGGGACAAGAAAUAUGAUCGGGCGCUAUGAUAAACUCUUCCACAACCAUUGAACCAUGGAACCGGCAGUCGAUUCGUGGCGAAAGGAACAAACGAACGAGCGGGCGAUCCUCGGAACGAAGGGAAUAACGAACGCAACGCAGCGUGUGCAGCUGACUGAAACACGGAAGCGUCGAAUGAUUCAAGUCCAUCGUGUUACGGCCGAAUGAGAGGAAGAAGAAUCACGGAUAUACCAUGGCUUGAACAAGGGGCUCGCAUGCGAGCAAUGCAUGCAUCUCGACGAGAUCCGCCUGUGGUUUAUCGAGGUUCCACGUAGAGCAUUGUGGUCGCUGCAUAAUAUUAACAUUAGCGGUGAUUAGUGGGCUGCCGACCUCCUGAUGCUGGCCAAUAGCUCUAAACGUUACUCUCCUCUACACGCGACCUUUCCUCCAUUAACGAGCUUCCCAACCCGAGGUCGAUUCUGAUUUUAGGCCCUCCUCCUUUUUCUGUUGUUUCUCGACAAGGAUAUCGAUACCUUAUACGGUAAGUAGUAUUUAUCUCUCAUUUUCAUAAAAAUUUAUUCUCAUCAAAAGAUGAAAGACAAAAAUAAGUGAGGAUACUUUUAAUGAUUUUACAAGAUAUAAUUAGCAUUUGUUUAUUAUUAAAAUAGAAAUAUUUAUACAAAAUGAAGUAUUUUAAAUUGUUUUAUUAUUACAGUAAUAUUAAUCAACGUGAGGCGUAUGCUAUAACAUACAUUACAUUCAUGAAAACAUUGAAACAAUUAUCAAAAGUAACAAUCGCAUAAAUAAAAAUUCGAAAAUCCUAUUUAAUAACUAUUUCGACAAAUUUGGAAACUCAACUCACAUUUAAAAUCUCCAUCUUCUUAAUAAAUCUCUAAUCUUCUCCUUUCGCUUUUCAAAUGUGAAAACAAUUCCGCCGUCAGAACGAAGAUUUACAUCAUAUUGUAAAAGUGAUCGAGAUGCGAUAUCGCAAUCAGAUCGCACGCAUAUAAGAACGAUUAAUAUUCAUUAAUAUAAAAAUGCCAAUAAGUAUUAGCGAGUAUCGUGUCCGCGGAUAAGAGUCCACGUUUCUUAUGCUAAUUACAUUAUUGACAGCUACGUGGGAGAUUUACGAGCGCCUUUUAACGCGUCGUGCCGGACAGCUGGUGAGGCAGUUUGCCGUUUAUUUAUGCUCGAUUUCAGCGUCGAUCGUCCGAUAGGGUGGAAUUUAUACGCUUUCAGUAUAAACGCGCUUAAUGGUCUUGACUAGUUGGACCCGGGAAUAUAUUCGCGUACGAUCAACCGGCGGUGUGUCCGUCGUAAUUAAUUAAUUGACUCGUAAUUGUCGACGACCAUCAUCGUUGGCUUUUGAAUCGAGCGAUAGAAAGCUCUGCCUGAUCUUCUUGGAUAACGAUUCUAUCCGAGGGCUGAGCAUUCGGUUGAGGUUAUGUAAACGAAUAAUAUUUGAUUUAAGGGUAAAAUUAUGUGGAGUUUAUAAAAUAGAUUUACGAUAUCACGAAAUCAUAAUGUUUGAACUUUGACUUCGAUAUUAUUUAUUAUAUUAUACUUUUUCAUUUGGAAUUUUUUUAAAUUGCAAUAUUAAAAAAAAAAAAUUAAAAAAAACAUCUAAAAAAUUGGUUUUUUUGCUGAUGAAAAGAGCAGAGAUAGAAGAAUCUGAAUGCUUUUUUUAAAAGGAAAAUUUUUUUACGAAAAAUAUUGAAUUUUAUUUUUAUAAAAGAAAGAAAGGUAACUAUAUUUGAAUAACAAGGCUUUAAAGUUUAUUAUUGAGUUUUGCAUGAUAAAUCCAGACAGACAGGUUUUAUAGUAAGUCCUAAUUUCAGUCAUCGGUGGUUCGAAAUAAAUCUUUUAUCCCGACAUCAAAUAUUUCUUGAUACAGGUGUGCUACAUAGACAGUUUUACUAACGAGUUUAACGCACAGGACAAGUCACGCAACUGGAACAAGUUAUGUCUCUUCCUUGUGCUUUAUAAAGAAAACAAAAAAAAAAAAAAAAAAAAAGAUA
Molecule: long non-coding RNA, 2255 nt
Organism: Apis cerana (Asiatic honeybee)
Lineage: Eukaryota; Metazoa; Arthropoda; Insecta; Hymenoptera; Apidae
Source: RefSeq, a predicted model, not a curated record